Molecule: ribosomal RNA, 729 nt
Filed under: Allium tuberosum
Lineage: Eukaryota; Viridiplantae; Streptophyta; Magnoliopsida; Asparagales; Amaryllidaceae
Description: eukaryotic LSU rRNA
Rfam family: 5.8S ribosomal RNA (bases 293-448)
Source: RNAcentral
AAGUCGUAACAAGGUUUCCGUAGGUGAACCUGCGGAAGGAUCAUUGUAGAGUCCCACUUUGAAAGAUUGAGAACUUGUACCUAUACCCAUCGAGAACAAGGCAGUAAUGCUAUAAAUACUGUAUUGUUUAGAAGGGUUUCCCUUUGCUACCUUCUUCUUGCUUCACUUGAAGCAAGAAGGAGAGUAGAAAUAAGAUAUCGGCACGGCUUGUGCCAAGGACAGCUGUUGUUGGAGUGCACUGUCGUCUUUAUUGAUGUGCAGUGUGCAUUUUUACAAGCGUGAGCGUCUGAAUGACUCCUGGCAAUGGAUAUCUUGGCUCUCGUGUCGAUGAAGAACGUAGCGAAAUGCGACACUUGGUGUGAAUUGCAGAAUCCCGUGAAUCAUCGAGUCUUUGAAUGCAAGUUGCGCUCGAGGCCAUUAGGUCGAGAGCACGUCUGCUUGGGCGUCAUGCCACACGUCAUUCUAAACAUCCAUCUAUCCUAAAAUAUAGGCUUGGUAGUAAUGGAUAUGGAGAUUGACCUUCCGUGCUUUUGAGGUGCGGUUGGUUUAAGUGAUGGUUGUUGCUAGGUUUGCACGUGGAGAAUGGUGUAUCGAGGUAACACGCGAUCUCUAACUGCGUACAAGAGUCCUAGCAACGAUUUACAGUAAUAGAAACCAAUGUCGUUGUUUGCACUAUUUGCAAGAAUGGACCAUGACCUCAGAUCAUACGGGGCCACCCGCUGAGUUUAA